This is a non-coding RNA of Corylus avellana, 119 nucleotides long. NCBI's taxonomy places the organism in Eukaryota, Viridiplantae, Streptophyta, Magnoliopsida, Fagales, Betulaceae. The record is from RefSeq and is a predicted model, not a curated record.
GGGUGGGAUCAUGCCAGCACUAAUGCACCGGAUCGCAUUAGAACUCAGAUGUUAAGCGUGCUUGGGCAACAGUAGUACUAGGAUGGGUGACCUCUUGGGAAUUCGUCGUGUUGCACCCC